GAGCCACUAGCUCAGUCCGGCAGAGCACCUGACUUUUAAUCAGGGUGUCGGUGGUUCGAAUCCACCGUGGCUCACCA
Molecule: transfer RNA, 77 nt
Filed under: Bacillota bacterium
Lineage: Bacteria; Bacillati; Bacillota
Description: Firmicutes bacterium (sediment metagenome) tRNA-Lys
Rfam family: tRNA
About the family: Transfer RNA (tRNA) molecules are approximately 80 nucleotides in length. Their secondary structure includes four short double-helical elements and three loops (D, anti-codon, and T loops). Further hydrogen bonds mediate the characteristic L-shaped molecular structure. tRNAs have two regions of fundamental functional importance: the anti-codon, which is responsible for specific mRNA codon recognition, and the 3' end, to which the tRNAs corresponding amino acid is attached (by aminoacyl-tRNA synthetases). tRNAs cope with the degeneracy of the genetic code in two manners: having more than one tRNA (with a specific anti-codon) for a particular amino acid; and 'wobble' base-pairing, i.e. permitting non-standard base-pairing at the 3rd anti-codon position.
Source: RNAcentral